UACGGGAGGCAGCAGUGGGGAAUAUUGCACAAUGGGCGCAAGCCUGAUGCAGCCAUGCCGCGUGUAUGAAGAAGGCCUUCGGGUUGUAAAGUACUUUCAGCGGGGAGGAAGGUGUUGUGGUUAAUAACCACAGCAAUUGACGUACCCGCAGAGAGCCCAUCCCGC
Molecule: ribosomal RNA, 165 nt
Filed under: Pantoea sp. enrichment culture clone YFZ27
Lineage: Bacteria; Pseudomonadati; Pseudomonadota; Gammaproteobacteria; Enterobacterales; Erwiniaceae
Description: partial 16S ribosomal RNA
Rfam family: Bacterial small subunit ribosomal RNA
Source: RNAcentral